This 425-nucleotide ribosomal RNA is filed under the name uncultured bacterium. RNAcentral describes it as "bacterial SSU rRNA". It matches the Rfam family "Bacterial small subunit ribosomal RNA", at positions 354 to 796 of the family's 1533-position model. The record is from RNAcentral.
GUGGGGAAUCUUGCGCAAUGGGCGAAAGCCUGACGCAGCCAUGCCGCGUGAAUGAUGAAGGUCUUAGGAUUGUAAAAUUCUUUCACCGGGGACGAUAAUGACGGUACCCGGAGAAGAAGCUCCGGCUAACUUCGUGCCAGCAGCCGCGGUAAUACGAGGGGGGCUAGCGUUGCUCGGAAUUACUGGGCGUAAAGGGCGCGUAGGCGGACAGCUUAGUCAGAGGUGAAAGCCCAGGGCUCAACCUUGGAAUUGCCUUUGAUACUGGCUGUCUUGAGUACGGGAGAAGUGAGUGGAACUCCGAGUGUAGAGGUGAAAUUCGUAGAUAUUCGGAAGAACACCAGUGGCGAAGGCGACUCACUGGCCCGUUACUGACGCUGAGGCGCGAAAGCGUGGGGAGCAAACAGGAUUAGAAACCCUGGUAGUCC